GACGAACGCUGGCGGCGUGCUUAACACAUGCAAGUCGAACGGAAAGGCCUGCUUUCCCUUGUGGAUUGCGGGUACUCGAGUGGCGAACGGGUGAGUAACACGUGAGUGAUCUGCCCCCAACUUGGGUAUAAGCCUGGGAAACUGGGUCUAAUUCCCGAUAGGACUGCAGGGUGGUGCCUGUGGUGGAAAACGAUUUUCUAGUGGUUGGGGAUGAGCUCGCGGCCUAUCAGCUUGUUGGUGGGGUAAUGGCCUACCAAGGCGGCGACGGGUAGCCGGCCUGAGAGGGUGGACGGGCACAUUGGGACUGAGAUACGGCCCAGACUCCUACGGGAGGCAGCAGUGGGGAAUAUUGCACAAUGGGCGGAAGUCUGAUGCAGCGACGCCGCGUGGGGGAUGACGGCCUUCGGGUUGUAAACUCCUUUCGACCGCGAGGAAGCCACCUGGUUGGAAGGGUGGUGACGGUAGUGGUAGAAGAAGCACCGGCUAACUACGUG
Molecule: ribosomal RNA, 494 nt
Filed under: uncultured bacterium
Lineage: Bacteria
Description: partial 16S ribosomal RNA
Rfam family: Bacterial small subunit ribosomal RNA
Source: RNAcentral